AUUGAACGCUGGCGGCGUGCCUAAUACAUGCAAGUCGAACGAAGUGGCUCACGGGUGAGUAAUAUAUAGUUAAUCUUACCUACACAGAGGAACAACAGUUGGAAACGGCUGCUAAUACCACAUAGUGUAGGAUGAGACUAUAUCGUAUCAGCUAGUUGGUAAGGUAAUGGCUUACAAAGGCUAUGACGCGUAACUGGUCUGAGAGGAUGAUCAGUCACAUUGGAACUGAGACACGGUACAAACGCCUACGGGAGGCAGCAGUAAGGAAUAUUGCGCAAUGGGGGAAACCCUGAAGUAGCAACGCCGCGUGGAGGAUGAAACUUUUCGGAGCGUAAACUCCUUUUAUCAGGAAAGCGGUACCUGAUGAAUAAGCACCGGCUAACUCCGUGCCAGCAGCCGCGGUAAUUC
RNAcentral lists this ribosomal RNA (408 nucleotides) under uncultured bacterium. RNAcentral's name for it is "partial 16S ribosomal RNA". It matches the Rfam family "Bacterial small subunit ribosomal RNA", at positions 30 to 526 of the family's 1533-position model. The record is from RNAcentral.